Molecule: RNA transcript, 1737 nt
Organism: Mytilus californianus (California mussel)
Lineage: Eukaryota; Metazoa; Mollusca; Bivalvia; Mytilida; Mytilidae
Gene name: tyrosine-protein phosphatase non-receptor type substrate 1-like
Exons: 9
Source: RefSeq, a predicted model, not a curated record
UGCUCGUCAGACAACAUUGAAAUAGCAUAAAGCCGUUUUGAAACAAGUAGAAAUAAUUAUUUCAUGAAUUAAGGAGUAAUAUGUCUGUCUAGUAAAUGAUACUGGUCCGCUGAAAGAAUAAGAUGUUUUCAGUAUCUGUUAAUUAUCAUUAAUUUAAUAUAUGUUCGACUUAUUAUUUAUUACAGCACAGAGGAACGCAACCAAUUAACUGACGAAUAAUAUUGUUCGAUUAGCAUUUGUGACAUAAGCAUGCGUCCAAGUUAAACAUAUACUGUUCAAUACACCAAGCGGAUUAACUAAUUCUGUUAACUACAACAGAGGCAACCUUAUUGAUGGAUCGAGGUUUGGUUUAGUGAAAUUGUUUUGUGGUAAUUAAGAAAAGAUAAAUAUCACACAUGGAAAAAAAGAAACUAAUGAUUUUUUAUGGACUUAUGUCUGUGUUUGGAUCGCUUAAAGAUGCCGUUUUAAUACAGAUCAUUUUAUUUUCAUGCUGGCAUGUGGUAUCCAUGACAACAUACAACCCAGUUUUUAACCAUACACCAGUAAACUUAACAUAUUACACAGGAGAAACUGCAACGUUAAGAUGUUCAGUCAGUCACUUAGGACCUAGCAAGGUGAUUUGGAAGCGAGAGGAUCAGCCUCAUCCAUUGACGGUUGGUAAAUUUGUAUAUGUUAGUAACCCUGAAUAUGGAAUAAAGCACAUUCCAUACAAAGACGAAUGGAAUCUGAUUAUUGAAAACGUUCAGCCGAGCCAUGCUGGGUUUUAUGAAUGUCAGAUUAGUACCAAGGACGACAUAAAGAGAUAUGUUCAACUGCACAUUAUUGAUGAGCCUGGUCAUGACAGAAGAUAUAUCAACAUCACAGGUCCGACACGUGCUACGAAAGGACAAUCUGUAAAAUUAACAUGUAAUGUAUCAGGAUUCAGAAGAACACCGAAACAUAUCAGAUGGUUUUUGAACGGUACCCACAUCGUAAGCGGACAGGACCACAAUAUUCGGAUUGUAACAUACCAGAGAUCAGAUGUAUUUUCAUUGUUUAGUGAAUUAGACAUUGGAAAAACUAACUUAAACUAUGCUGGGAAUUAUUUAUGUCAAGCACAUUUUGCAAAUGGAUUAAAAGUAUCAAAACAUAUACUUUUAGUAGAUACUAUUAAUGCAGACAGUAAACCGAGUAAACGAGGAACAGUAGCUGAUGGAACAGAACGUCCAGUUCUACAUAGGAACAAACAACAAACACCAAACACAGCAUUCCCAUGUAGUGGGACAUUAUGGUGUCUGACAGUGUGUUCAUUGGUAUCAUUAUUAUGUUGGUUUUAGGCGAUUAAAAGGUAUACAGUAUAUCGCUGGGACCAAAUUUACUUUUCUGACAUGACAGACAUCGUUGUUAAGUUGUGCAUUCCAAGUCUUCCAUUAAAGCUACUACCAAUUUAUCCCAUUUGUAUGAGAUCAUCAUUAUUCAGAUAGUUAACCAGUUUUAAGUUUAUGGAUGUCUUAUUGCAGCAUUUCCGGGCCUUUUUACAUCGAAAUAUCAUUCAUUAUUAUAAAGUAUUCAAAUAAAUAUAAAAGAUAUAAAACAUUUUAUCAUUUUGUCUUCUGUUCAACAAAACUAUGUGCAAAACAGCCAUUUUAGUUCAAAUAUGUCAAUUUAAUCAUUUUAUUGACGUCACAGUGCCAUCAAAGCUGAUAUUUUAUGUACUAAAGUGUAAAGAUUACAUCAGCCUAUCAAUUCAUUAAUAAA